AGCUUUGCGCAGUGGCAGUAUCGUAGCCCAUGAGGUUUAUCCGAGGCGCGAUUAUUGCUAGUUGAAAACUUUACCCAAUACCCCGUCAUGACGACUUGAAAUAUAGUCGGCAUUGGCAAUUUUUGACGGUCUCCAAGGAGA
The sequence is a small nuclear RNA, 141 nucleotides long. Its record names the gene U4. It matches the Rfam family "U4 spliceosomal RNA". From Rfam's summary of the family: U4 small nuclear RNA (U4 snRNA) is a component of the major U2-dependent spliceosome. The structure of U4 snRNA from yeast and human has been reported. U4 snRNA presents a k-turn RNA motif in the 5p-SL related to recognition of Snu13 protein. The record is from Ensembl.